Molecule: ribosomal RNA, 859 nt
Filed under: uncultured Flavobacteriaceae bacterium
Lineage: Bacteria; Pseudomonadati; Bacteroidota; Flavobacteriia; Flavobacteriales; Flavobacteriaceae
Description: bacterial SSU rRNA
Rfam family: Bacterial small subunit ribosomal RNA
Source: RNAcentral
GCGGCAGGCUUCAUACAUGCAAGUCGAGGGGGCAGCAUAAAUUACUUGUAAUUUGAUGGCGACCGGCGAACGGGUGCGUAACGCGUAUGCAACUUACCUUUUACUAGAGAAUAGCCAAGAGAAAUUUUGAUUAAUGCUCUAUACACUUACUAACUUUCAUGAGUUUGUAAGAAAAGCUCCGGCGGUAAAAGAUGGGCAUGCGUCCUAUUAGCUUGUAGGUGAGGUAACGGCUCACCUAAGCUCCGAUAGGUAGGGGUCCUGAGAGGGAGACCCCCCACACUGGUACUGAGACACGGACCAGACUUCUACGGAAGGCAGCAGUAAGGAAUAUUGGACAAUGGAGGAAACUCUGAUCCAGCCAUGCCGCGUGAAGGAUGACGGCCUUAUGGGUUGUAAACUUCUUUUAUACAGGAAUAAACCUAUCCACGUGUGGAUAGCUGAAGGUACUGUAAGAAUAAGGAUCGGCUAACUCCGUGCCAGCAGCCGCGGUAAUACGGAGGAUCCAAGCGUUAUCCGGAAUUAUUGGGUUUAAAGGGUCCGCAGGCUGUUUGUUAAGUCAGAGGUGAAAUCCUACCGCUCAACGGUAGAACUGCCUUUGAUACUGGCAAACUUGAGUUAUUGUGAAGUAGUUAGAAUGUGUAGUGUAGCGGUGAAAUGCAUAGAUAUUACACAGAAUACCGAUUGCGAAAGCAGAUUACUAACAAUUAACUGACGCUGAGGGACGAAAGCGUGGGUAGCGAACAGGAUUAGAUACCCUGGUAGUCCACGCCGUAAACGAUGGUCACUAGCUGUUCGAUGUACAUUGGUACAUUGAGUGGCUAAGCGAAAGUGAUAAGUGACCCACCUGGGGAGUACGCUC